Molecule: small RNA, 255 nt
Filed under: Arabidopsis thaliana (thale cress)
Lineage: Eukaryota; Viridiplantae; Streptophyta; Magnoliopsida; Brassicales; Brassicaceae
Description: ATSL034230
Source: RNAcentral
AUUUGACUAGAAAACUAACCAAGCUUCUUCCUGCUUCUCAAAACUUUGAUGGUGUAGCCGAAGUCCGUAUGAGGCUUUGGCUUUGCAUCUUCUAACAAGGAAACACUACUUAUGCUUUUACGAUUCAGUUGCGGUUCUAGUUCUUAUACUCAAUCAUACACAUGACAUCUAGUCAUAUUUGACUCGAAAACACUAACCAAGCUUCUUCGUGCUUCUCAAAGCUUUGAUGGUGUAGCAGAAGUCCGUAUGAGUCAU